Molecule: long non-coding RNA, 251 nt
Filed under: Setaria viridis
Lineage: Eukaryota; Viridiplantae; Streptophyta; Magnoliopsida; Poales; Poaceae
Description: long non-coding RNA (SVIR_LNC002883)
Source: RNAcentral
CAGAGGAGAGCUAGUUAUGUUCUAGCUGAACUACUAUCGAUAUUGGAAGGAGCAGGCACAGAGGGUGCUGAGUGCUUUGGCGCCGGAUUGGCACCAGAGUUCUGCCUCCUCUUUGAUUCCAUUGAGCAGCUGUGUCGGCGUUCAUUCCUCCUUGUUGAAUAUGCGGGCGUGUUCCGUUCUUUCCAGAUGACCAACAUGAAGAAGGAAUCGAGCCCCUGCUUCUGCUGCUUGUCUCCACCUGCGCGAAGCUA